CUCUGCGCGCGCUGAAGCCCGGAUGAAAGGCACGCCGCUGUGGGAGGAGCAAGAACGGACCUGAGAGGGAACAACUUCCGGCGCCGAGCGCUACGCGCGGCGUCAGCCGUUUCCCGGAAACCUGCGGGAGCUGGCGGCCGGAUGUGUGCGGAAUCUUUGAAUUGUAAUCAUCGCGUUUGUGUGCCGCCCCUCGUUAAAGCUGAGCUCCUAGAGUGUAGGAACCGGUUCACUUCAGGGGACAUGGUGUGGAGAUGCCUUACAAGAAGAAAGAAAUCCAAGCUUGGAAUGAAAGCAGCAGAUUCACAUGAAGUCCCUAUGAAAUCUCUAUUAAUGGGCUGUGAAGAUCCAAAUCCUUUGACGAGUUGAGCAUGUUGUAGUCUGUAUACCAAGGUGCCGCUGGGAAAUUACAAGUUGUUUUCACGCUUCAGCCAGGGGAAUCAAUUCAGACUCCAGCAAAGAGCCAGCAGCGUCUUCUGACCAGAUGUUUGGUAACACAUCAUGAAUUUCUGCCCACAUCACAGCCUGACAACAUCGCAUUUGACAACAGCUGCAGAAAGUGGUUCCAGGAAGGCCAGUCACAAAGCACCACGCCAUUUUGAUUACUGAUCCUGCUCCCUUCUAGAAUAAGUUGCUGUCAGAAGCCCGGGAUGGCAGGAAGCUGGGAUGGGGUAGGUCCAUUGAUCACUGUGGAUUAUGCACUUGCUGUUAGCAGAGUAUUUGAGGGUUUUAAAUAGGGAAUAGAAGGUUUUAUCUUGAUAAAGGAAAACUGUAUAAUGUAUGUUUUGUUGUGCUGAGUAUUAUCAUUGGGAAAUCUCUCAGGAUUCUAAAGGGAGUAAUUGGAAUCAACUAUGGAGUUUUUUUUUUAAAACCUUAUUCUGGAAUCUAUUUGAAACUGGGAAACUUUUUAGGUCACUUGAUAAAUGAAUCAGAAUCAAACUCCUGAGCACAGUACUUGCUAACUCCACAACUGGAAGUCCAGUGAGCUCUAUUUUUAUCAUUUUAUUCAUCCAGAGUUGGAGGUUCACGGUGCAUUAACGCCAUCUUUACCUUGGAAGAGCUACUGAGACAACACUGGACUCCUAAAACCAGACCACUGCUCCAGCCACUGGCUACCUCCCACAGGGCACUCUUUUGCUCAUCAGAUGUAUUAACUCAGUUGCAUCAUUCUAGAAUGAUGUGCUGUGUAAUGUUCAGAUGAGCUAGGUGUCUGGAUUUAGUGUGACAGGGCAGGCAGGUCAGCACACGUCUGGAGCAGGAUUGUGAACAUACACUGUCACCUGUCCUGGGUGGACGUGAACUGCCUCAGGUGCUCUAUUCUGAAGGAUAUUGCACUUAAUAAGUGGUCCCAGAUCAAAAGCCACAUACAAUGAACUUGAGGUUCAGUUGGUUUGCUUUAGUGAAGAAGCCAAGCCCCAAACAACAGCUCUACCUAGGAUACUGUUUCCAUAAGUCCAGUAUGCUUAUCAUGAUUGUUUUUGUUGUUGCUGUUCAGAGACUAGAUUGGUGAAUUGGCUCAGUUGAGACUUUGGGGGGUGACAUUAACCUGCCACCCUAACUGGGACAUGGUACCCAUUGGUUCCAGGAACACUGGUGAUGGGAAGUUUCAGGGAUUUCUUCUUGCCCUUCAUGUGACAGUUCUUACUUUACCUGUCAAGGAAUCAAUGUGACUGUUCUGGAAAUUGUGAGGGUUCUGGGACCUGUCUAUCCCAAUUAUGCAUUCAGGAACCGAGAUGAUGACAGGUAGGUAGAUCCUAGGAUAUCCUGGCCCCACAAUGAGAUAAGCCGGGGUGGGAUUUUAUUAGUUACAUGACUUCCAUAUGCACUUAAUGUAACAGUGGGGCCAUGAUGGUGUUUUGGGUCUGUGAAUAUGGGUGACAAUUGCACUCUGUAUCCAGCAGUCUUAAUAGUCUAGAUAAUUUUAUUUCCUGAAUAUAUGAUUACCAAAGCAAAUGUCCACACAUUUCUUUGGGUGAAAGAAUGAUGGAAUUAAAACUGCACAUACUUGUUAUAUUGCAAGAUCCUUCUACAAGGAGGCAUAAUUUCUCUUUCCGUCAAUGGGUUUGGGUUUGAGAACUGGCUCACGUCUGGAAACUGGACAAUUGACCAUAACUUUCAUUAAGGUUGGCUUCAUCUUCUUUGGUUCUCUUUUUAGUAUCAAGUCUGUCUGUAUCAAGUCCUCAUUUGUCUUCCUUGUAGUAAUACUGUGAGGCAAGUCAGUGCCUCCUAACAGCUGUUUGAAUCUUUCUGUCAUCAUGAUGAUUCCUCCCUGCCUCUGGUGGUUAGAUGUAGUUAUCUGUUCUUUGCUACACUGGGAUCCUGUGACUUCCACUGGUAGUAGGGACCCAGUUCUGUGUCUCUAGCAACACCUUUCAUAGUUAGUCUUGGCCUACACUACUGAUCUUUUGAAUUGUUGGUGGCUCCCUCAUAUUCACACUUUCUGGGCUUGGUGUACACAGCAUCCUACAGCCUUCCCAAGAAUGUGGGAACUUGUGGAUUAUUGGAUGUUACGUAAUAGAUCCGUUCUGGCUGCUCCCUUCCUGAACCUUUCCUUACUUAGUAUUGAGGAAGAAGUCAGAUUCACUUUCUGCACAGACAUUUCUAUAUCUUCCUCAUUUAACAUGGAGUUCCAUUGUUUCCCCAAGAUUCUAAAUGGCCAUCUCCAGUAUGCAUUAAUGUUUGCUCUAAGCUCCCUGUCAGGGCAUUCAAUCUUGAGUCAUCAGGAAGCCCCCAUAUUAACAAAAUUCUGCCUGACCCAAUCUGUGUUCCAACCUCUUCACACUCCCUAUAGCCUAAUCCUCCCAGGAUUCAGUCCAAGUAUUCUCUCUCAGGCUAUGCCAGUACAUACUGGUUUUAUGGCUUCAUUAGAAUCUAAUAAUCUCUGUGUUUGGAAAUAAGGCUUUUACAGAUAUAAUGAAAGUGAAAUGAGGUCCUAUUAGAUUAGGAUAUUUAAUAACCCAAUGAUUAGUGGCUUUGUUGGAAUACGAAAUUUAAGCAGGUACAUAGAUGUGUGGUACAGAAGGCUCUGUGAGGUUGGGGCAGAGACUGUAGGGCUAUAUGUAAGGAUAAGCCAAGGAUCACCAAGCAUUGUUGCAACCUCCCAAAGCUAGAAGAGGCAAGAUUCUUCCCUAGAGUCUUUGAGGAAAGUAUGUCCUUGCUGAUUCAUUCAUUGUGAACUUCUUUAGGAUCCAGAACAGUGAGAGAACACAUUUCUAUUACAUUUAAAUCUUUGGGUUUCUAUUAUUUUCUAUUAUUUUGUUAUUAGAACUCUUAAGAAGCUAAUAAAGCAGCAGGAAAAGGAGAUAAGGACCAGUUUUUGGUGAGGGUGAGCAUUGUCCUGCCUGGUACCUGCCUCUGUAAAUGUUUCUGCAGAGACCGUAGACAACGGGGAGUAUACGCAAGCCACCCAGGUCUCUGGGAAAUCUGGCAGUGGGUGAAUUUGAGCACACCUCAUCCACUUGUUCCCAUCCCAGGUCUUAGUCUUUAUCUAUCAGUGCCCUGAUUUUGGUGUGAGCCAUGAAUUUAGCUUUCAGUGAAAUUAUCCUACUUUUCCAAUCAGAUAUUGUGCUUUGUCUUCUUCUCAGGCUGCCAUAUGACUCAACAAAACGUGUUUGAAAAUUUCUUCUCUAGGGGUCCAGAUGAUAAACAUUUCAGGCUUUGCUGCAGUUACUCAACUCUGUUGUUGUGCCUUGAAAGCAGCCACAGACUAUGUGUAAAUGAAUAAGUACGGUGAUGUUUUAAUAAAAUUUUAUUUACAAAAACAAUAGUGGAACAGAUUUGGCUCAGAAACUGGAGUUUGCUGACUCCAGCUCUGGGAGAUGAAGGCCUCUUUACAUGCCGCCAUGGAGCAUUUGUGAUGUUUAUAUGAUUAAGCUGGUAAUUAACUCCACUGAGCUUGUCAUUUUCUCUUUUUAACACAUCCGUAAUGUCCAGCCAAAGGCAAUCAGUUCCACAUUUGCCCCCAUAACCCUCAAUCAAGAAAGAUAAUGCACAAGCCAGGGCAACUCCUUCUAUUUCUGUGUGUGCAGAUUACAUAAGUGAAAAUCUUAGUAAUUGCAGCACUACAGCAUUCAAGGUACUGUUGUCCACCACUCAUCACCAGUGUUGGGGAGGAGGGCGGUCCAUAUCAGCAAAUGACCCAGUUCCUCAAUAGCAUCUUAGAUAUGUGAGUGUUUUGGUUUUGGUUGUAUUCCUAAGCAAACCUUGAAAAAAAGGUUCAUUCACAUGUGAGUUACUAAAGAAAUGCUGCUAGGGGAAACCAAUAAGAAUUCAGAGGAAGCGUGAAAAGGUGCAGCAGUAAGGGGUAUGGUUUCAUCCAAAUCCAAUACAGAUGAGGCUGAUUUUAUUGGUGUACCACCUGCGCUGUCACAUGGUGCCCCACUCUCAGAAGAGUCCUGUGCUUGGUGUAGUGCUCAGUUGCUGCUCUUAAAAAUCUUCGUAGCUUUGUCUUUGAGUUUGUGUUUUGGAAGUGAAGUUUGAUGAGACAGUGGCACAUGUGCGUGAGCAGAGGAGACAUGCACAGUUUGCAUGCUUGUUAUCCCUUGCCCAGCGUUCACAUUUCCAGUUGCCCAGCAGCACAGGAUUUUGAUGGGGGUGUAGCAGGACUCAAAGCAGAAGCAAAGUAAGUGCAUAUGCCUGAGUACAUGGGGAUUCCAACAGGCCUAAGAGGCCAUGCUUUCCUUUCAAAACAGAACUUGCUUGGAAUGCAGAAAAAUAUGUCUUAAGCACCCAGUGCCAAAAAUGUAAGGAUAAGUGAUACACAGAUAGAGUGAAAGAAACUUGGAAUUUAGGAAUGCUGUAGAUUCAUGACAAAGUAGUAGAGCCACAUAUAAUCAUGUAAAGUCAGCACCUCACAUCAAAUAAAGGAGAAGAAUUAAUGCCUGCCUUGUAAGAAGAUUGGAUGUGAAUAUGGUCUCAAAACAGAUUCAGGGAGAAAGACUCUAUGCAGAAAAAGUAGUCUUUUUUUCUCUGGGAAACUCGGAAGUAAGAAGAUGCACUGACAUUUGGAGCAGAAAGAAUAUAGAUGAGACUUCAGUGGUGCUGGAUUCCAUUAUGGACAUUACACACAUAAAUAUACACAAACCCAUACAUGUGCGCAUACACAUGUGCACGCUUUGUACCUUAGUAGAGAACAGGUUUGAAGUACUGGUAGAGGUUUAAGACUUUUAUCUACCUCUACAGAGUUUAAUAGUAUAUAUAUCCUUGCUUAUUGUAGUAUGUUGUGUUAAAAAUAUUAUGAAGUAAUAGAAGUUCAUAAAACCUACGUGUGCUGACUUUUAUGCAUGCUAGGAGGUGGUGUUUAUGUUCUAAAACUCCACAAGGAUGCUGCUCCCACCAGUUGGUUUUCCAAUUGUCAGUCAAGUUACAUAGCACAUAGUUCAUGGAUUGGGCUAAACCAAUGGCAAUUUAAGACUGUAAGUGUGUUCUUUGUAAUCUAUUUUGCUUGCUAUUUUUUACAUCUUUUAUUAUUAGCUCACAAAUAAAUAUAUUCUUAAGUACAUUUUGUUGUUAAGGAGGAUGAGAUACCAAAGAUUUUAUGUCAGUAAAACUUUUUGAUAAACCAGUCAUUCAAAGAUAAAUGUCACAGGAACUAACUGAUAGGUACAGUCUAAAAAAAAAAAAAGAUGAUCUCAAAGAAAGCAACUAUAUAAUGGAGGUUACCUGAGGCUGGGGAAGGAAGUGGGGAGGGAGGGGGAAAAGUUGUGUGACAGGUACUAGUAGUACCUAGAUAGGAGGAAGAUGUUCUGGGAUUCUGGAGCACAGUAGGAUGACUGUAGACAAUGUACUGGUAUUUCCUUAUAUAUAAAACAAAAUCUAGAAGGUAGGGUUUUGGAUGUUUUCUCUAUAAAAGAAAUAUUACACUUUUGAAAGGAUAAAAAUAUUUACCCUGAUUGGACAUUAUACAAUGCAUCCAUGUGAGAAAAUAUAUAUUGUCUCAUAAAUAUGUAUAAUUUUUAUGUCAAAAUUUUUAAAUACUUCAAAAAAGGAUUUUACACAAUGCAGAGAUAACAUUUUGGUAAUUGUUGUUUAAUUUUACUGCUUUGGAAGCAUUCUCUGAUUUAAAACAAGUGCUAAUGAUGCAGCAUUCUCCAAGCCUUCUCCAGUGACCAUGAGGAAGCCGAGUGCCUGUAUACAGUAAGUAUUAUUUAAAAUUCACUGAAGGCAUUCUCUGACUGAAUCAUCACGAAAACCCUAUGUAGCAGGAGUUAGCAUUCCGAAUUUUACUCUUCAUAAAUUAUAGGGAAUAUGUAGCUCAUAUAUAUUUAACUCAUUUUAUACUAUCUGAAUCUAGGAGAAUUUUUCUAACAAUUCAGUUUAAAUAAGUGUAAGAGGGAUAUUUUAGAUGUACAAUGACAUGCAAAUGCCAUCUUUACUGAUAACAAUGAUUUCAGGAAAUACUAUAAUGAGAAAUGUUAUAUUUUUCUUAUUUCACAAAUGAAGAAGCCAUGUAAUAUUGAGCACUGUCAAACAUUUAUAUGUUGACAGUGACAGUGAUGCUUCAGAAUAGUAUUUGCUCAUUAUAUCAUCUGAUAGUGAUAUAUUUUCCAAAAUAAUUAAUGACUGGCAUAUUAGAAUUCAGUAAAAUCGAUGGACAUUGGUGCUUACUCAGUGACACAGGAAGGGUGAUAGCGUUUCUCGCAGAGUCAAACAGAAUAAAAUGCUGUUUUUUUUUACUAAGGAGGUGGCUACCAACAGAACCAUCCUAGCUGAAACUUGAAAUAUUGAUGUAGAAUCUGUCAAUGUAGGAUAAAAUGAAAAUGACAAAGGUAUCAAUGAUUUUAUUUGUUUAGGGUGUUUACAAUUGUCAUUUGGAUUUUUAGAAUAGUCAGCCACUCAAUUAACCAGUCUGCUAAUACCAUAUAGAGACCACCAUAACUUAUACUAGUAUGUGAAUUCUGUGUGAAUCGAUUAAGGGGAGAGAAAGCAUGAAUCCUGUUUUCAAGAAUCUUAUACAAAACCCAUAAUUUAGCAGUCUCACUUUGAGAAAAUUAUCAUAUGAAAAAAUGUGAUAAAGUCUUCAUAAAUAGUUAACCUUAUUGCAGGGCUAAUACAAAAAUUUAAAAACCUGAAGAUAAACUGUCAAUGGAGCAUUGAUCAAACAUAUACAAUGGAGUACCAUGCGGUCCCUUAAUGGAAGGGAAGCAGUUCUCUUUGUGUUGAUAUUGGAACAUGUCCUUAAAGUAUUCUCAUGGGACAAGCAAUGUGUGAGUGUUUGUGAGAUCCUGUAUUUGGAGGCUACAGAAGGGUCAACAUGUGAGUGUAUGCAUGCACACAAGGAAAUAGCACUGAAUAAAAACAAUGUUAGAAAGUAUUGACGCCAAGCUGUCAAUCAUGGUAACUUCUAAACAUUGCAGCUGAAUGGACUGGGGGAAGAGGAAAAGGUGGAUUUCUCUUUUGCUACUUUAAUGUGUUAUAUGUUUUUACAUAGUGUGAUUUACGGUGAUUUUGAUUAGAUUACUUUUCAGUAUAUUUUAAAUUAAAAAC
Oryctolagus cuniculus (rabbit) is the source of this 7482-nucleotide non-coding RNA. The record is from RefSeq and is a predicted model, not a curated record. NCBI's taxonomy places the organism in Eukaryota, Metazoa, Chordata, Mammalia, Lagomorpha, Leporidae.